Non-coding RNA from Xylariales sp. AK1849, 147 nucleotides. The record is from the annotation of a GenBank genome assembly. NCBI's taxonomy places the organism in Eukaryota, Fungi, Ascomycota, Sordariomycetes, Xylariales.
GGUCGGUUAGCUCAGUUGGUUAGAGCGUCGUAAGUUCUUACUAUAUCAUUACCAAGCUGGCAUUCCACUAAUCCGCCUCAGGUACUAAUACAAAAUACCAUUGUAUAAGUAAUGCGAAGGUCAUGAGUUCGACCCUCAUACUGACCA